This 253-nucleotide ribosomal RNA is filed under the name uncultured bacterium. RNAcentral's name for it is "partial 16S ribosomal RNA". It matches the Rfam family "Bacterial small subunit ribosomal RNA", at positions 524 to 776 of the family's 1533-position model. The record is from RNAcentral.
UACGUAGGGUGCGAGCGUUGUCCGGAAUGAUUGGGCGUAAAGCGUCCGCAGGUGGCUGUGUAAGUCUGCUGUUAAAGAGUGAGGCUCAACCUCAUAAAAGCGGUGGAAACUACACGGCUAGAGUGCGUUCGGGGCAGAGGGAAUUCCUGGUGUAGCGGUGAAAUGCGUAGAUAUCAGGAAGAACACCGGUGGCGAAAGCGCUCUGCUAGGCCGCAACUGACACUGAGGGACGAAAGCUAGGGGAGCGAAUGGG